ACCAGGGGAUUUUCCUUGACUUCCAUUGAAGAAAUACCUUCAGAUGUGCCCAUGGUAACACAAGCUGGACUGCAGCUUUUCCUAAGCACUUAGAAUCAUAGAAUCAUAUUUCAGGAUUCCCGUGGCACCUUUGAUGACAGGAAUGCUCAUUCCAUAUGCUUCUGUGUUACCACCCACAGAGCAAAAAAGCCUGCACCACAUGAGGGUCCUGCUAUGAUCUGCUGUAAGCCUGACACAAGAGCAGCUGAAAUGCAGCACAGAAGACCUCUUUGGGUGGUGCUGUCAUAGCCACGGCCUUGGUAUGGCACAAGCACAUAUGGUGACAAAAAUCACACGUGGAGGGACAAGCCACCAUGCUAGCUUGGGGAUGGACCCCACCAUAAAACAUGCCCAAGUCCAACCUGCCUGAUCUGGCCCUGCAUUAGCCUUGGGCUCACUUCAGAAUGAUGCUGAGUAGGGGAGGCUGUGAACCAGGAGAGGAAAGGAAGCCUCAGUGCAUGUGUGAAGCACCUGAGAAAGGUACAGGUAUCUCGGAACUGGAUGGACAGGAUGGAUUGCUGAGGCAUGGAGAGCAUCUCACAGCUGGGAUGACAACUGCUUUAUUGCAUCUCUCUUGGAGCUGCAGUUCCAUGCCUGAGUUUCCCUUGGUAGGAGAGCUACAAGCAUCACAGGUGGCUCGACCUGCUGGGAACCCUGAGCUCACAGCCUGAUUAACGAGAUGGAGCAGACAGAGCAGAAUGAUGCUGCCUGCAUACUAAGAAACUUGGCCCGGAGCCCACGCACACCAAAGGCAAAAUAAAUAAAUAAACAUCUCCAUCAAUCUUGACGUCACUGGGGGAAAAAGGGUCACUGCCAUGUGGAAGGAGACAUCUGGACAGUGAGGUCACUGCUCUGGAUGGAUGCCACAGAGCAGUUCACAUGCUCAGCAGCACCAUAGGAUAAAAUGACAGUUAAAAAAAAAAAUAAAGAAAGAAUAAAUUCUAACUGAUACUGAGGGAGCAGAGGUUUAAGGAUGGAGGUUCAGACCCUCUGCACGCCUGCCUUCAUAUCUAACUUUUCCUGAUAAAAAACUCCUGUGAUUCCAGGCAC
Non-coding RNA from Meleagris gallopavo (turkey), 1089 nucleotides. NCBI's taxonomy places the organism in Eukaryota, Metazoa, Chordata, Aves, Galliformes, Phasianidae. The record is from RefSeq and is a predicted model, not a curated record.